CUACGGGUGGCACCAGUGGGGAAUAUUGCGCAAUGGGCGAAAGCCUGACGCAGCAACGCCGCGUGAAGGACGAAGGUUUUCGGAUCGUAAACUUCUUUGAUGAGGGAAGAAAAAAAUGACGGUACCUCAAAAACAAGCCACGGCUAACUACGUGCCAGCAGCCGCGGUAAUACGUAGGUGGCAAGCGUUGUUCGGAAUUACUGGGUGUAAAGGGCGUGUAGGCGGGAAUGUAAGUCAGAUGUGAAAUUCCGAGGCUCAACCUCGGAGCUGCAUCUGAAACUAUGUUUCUUGAGUGCUGGAGAGGAAAGCGGAAUUCCUAGUGUAGCGGUGAAAUGCGUAGAUAUUAGGAGGAACACCAGUGGCGAAGGCGGCUUUCUGGACGGUAACUGACGCUGAGGCGCGAAAGCGUGGGGAGCAAACAGGAUUAGAUACCCGAGUAGUC
Molecule: ribosomal RNA, 442 nt
Filed under: uncultured bacterium
Lineage: Bacteria
Description: partial 16S ribosomal RNA
Rfam family: Bacterial small subunit ribosomal RNA
Source: RNAcentral